This 318-nucleotide long non-coding RNA is filed under the name Mus pahari (shrew mouse). Its description in RNAcentral is "predicted gene 15849 (MGP_PahariEiJ_G0003644.1)". The record is from RNAcentral. Lineage: Eukaryota; Metazoa; Chordata; Mammalia; Rodentia; Muridae.
AGGUGCUUCAGGCCGUGGCCAAACAUGGAGCCCUCUGAGAGCUGCUGGAUUUUCUUAAGGGGGAGAGAUGAAAAGCCCUGGUUAAUGGAAAGCUCCUGGAUGUCUUGUCAGUCGGGGUUGAAGACUAGAGCCAAGCUGAAUCCCUGGAGCCCUGCUGCAGCUCUGCCCCAAGAGAUGCCACCUGCUUGCCCCAAGCCCCAGUACUGCCAGGAUAAAUGGCUGGUGGCAACUGCCAUGUAACGAAACAAACAGAGCAAAAGUUUGAGCAUGAAGAAAGCAAAAAAGAGUAAGUCUGAGUGGCUGUCCACUCAGUGCUGU